Molecule: ribosomal RNA, 468 nt
Filed under: Streptococcus anginosus
Lineage: Bacteria; Bacillati; Bacillota; Bacilli; Lactobacillales; Streptococcaceae
Description: bacterial SSU rRNA
Rfam family: Bacterial small subunit ribosomal RNA
Source: RNAcentral
GACGAACGCUGGCGGCGUGCCUAAUACAUGCAAGUAGGACGCACAGUUUAUACCGUAGCUUGCUACACCAUAGACUGUGAGUUGCGAACGGGUGAGUAACGCGUAGGUAACCUACCUAUUAGAGGGGGAUAACUAUUGGAAACGAUAGCUAAUACCGCAUAACAGUAUGUAACACAUGUUAGAUGCUUGAAAGAUGCAAUUGCAUCGCUAGUAGAUGGACCUGCGUUGUAUUAGCUAGUAGGUAGGGUAAAGGCCUACCUAGGCAACGAUACAUAGCCGACCUGAGAGGGUGAUCGGCCACACUGGGACUGAGACACGGCCCAGACUCCUACGGGAGGCAGCAGUAGGGGAUCUUCGGCAAUGGGGGGAACCCUGACCGAGCAACGCCGCGUGAGUGAAGAAGGUUUUCGGAUCGUAAAGCUCUGUUGUUAAGGAAGAACGAGUGUGAGAAUGGAAAGUUCAUGCUGU